GUGGGGAAUUUUGGACAAUGGGCGCAAGCCUGAUCCAGCAAUGCCGCGUGUGUGAAGAAGGCCUUCGGGUUGUAAAGCACUUUUGUCCGGAAAGAAAUCUCCUGGGUUAAUACCUCGGGGGGAUGACGGUACCGGAAGAAUAAGCACCGGCUAACUACGUGCCAGCAGCCGCGGUAAUACGUAGGGUGCGAGCGUUAAUCGGAAUUACUGGGCGUAAAGCGUGCGCAGGCGGCUAUGCAAGACAGAUGUGAAAUCCCCGGGCUCAACCUGGGAACUGCAUUUGUGACUGCAUGGCUAGAGUGCGUCAGAGGGAGGUGGAAUUCCGCGUGUAGCAGUGAAAUGCGUAGAGAUGCGGAGGAACACCGAUGGCGAAGGCAGCCUCCUGGGAUGACACUGACGCUCAUGCACGAAAGCGUGGGGAGCUAACAGGAUUAGAUACCCCGGUAGUCC
Molecule: ribosomal RNA, 450 nt
Filed under: uncultured bacterium
Lineage: Bacteria
Description: partial 16S ribosomal RNA
Rfam family: Bacterial small subunit ribosomal RNA
Source: RNAcentral